Arabidopsis lyrata subsp. lyrata is the source of this 652-nucleotide long non-coding RNA. RefSeq lists it as uncharacterized. NCBI's taxonomy places the organism in Eukaryota, Viridiplantae, Streptophyta, Magnoliopsida, Brassicales, Brassicaceae. The transcript is spliced from 2 exons. The record is from RefSeq and is a predicted model, not a curated record.
AAUUUGACCAGAUCAAAACUAUAUCAAGCAUGAACCGAUUAGUUUCAUAGAGCUCAAACCCAAUCGUAAACAACAAACAGAGCCACAUUGCCCAAACAAUGGUAGACACAAAUAUGCCCGUAAUUAACAAAUCGAAUCAACCCUAAGGUCGUUUGUGACGAAGACGCCGUCGUAAAUCCGAAGGUUGUUGAAGAAGAAGACAAGUGAAGAAGCUUUUUGGACGUUUCGCGACGGGAAGAGGAGGAGGGGAGAGAGAUGGAAACAGCUUCAUUGUUUCUUCCACUUCAGUUCUUUGAUGGAUUUGAGAUCUGAUAAGUGAAGAAGUUGUGCAGUGGCGGCGACGGCGUCGUUGGAAAAUAGGUGGUUACGGUUGACUCGUCGACUUGUAGAAGAGCUGAUCCAACUGAGUUGACUCAGCGAGGUGGUGACCUUUGAAGAGAGACAAAGUAGAGUCGAGGAAAAUCGAGUCUUCACGUGAGAGAGAUAGGUCGAGAUGGUGGUGGUGGUCGGAGAGGAUGAAGGCAGAGGGAGUGAAUCGGAAAGUGGAAAUUACAAUUGAAUUUGAUUAUUUGUUAAUUACAAUAAAUUUCUCCAAUGAGCUUUUGUAAUUUUGAUAUCAAAUUUAUCAAAAUCGUUUUUGUUGAUUGAAGAA